AAUCCAAGUUUAGUGGUAUUAAAUGGAUUUAUGAUCAUCUGGGAUGUAAUUGCUAUUACCCGGUGGGGUAUUCCUUUCCAGGCUCUUUUAAGGUCUGAUUGGUCAAACCUUCUGGCUAUGUUUUGGCUUGGUGAUGGAGGGACUAUGAUGUGUGUAAAUUGAGUAGCUUCAGGUGUUUUGGAUGAGCCCUUGUGAACUUUGAAGAUUCCGGGAUGCAGUUGGAGUUGAAAUGAAGUUUGUUUCUAAAAUAUUUGGUGCAGUAGGCGAAGCACAUGGUGCAUUGCCAUUUCUUGUUGGAUUGUCAACUGGAUUCUAG
RNAcentral lists this long non-coding RNA (316 nucleotides) under Salvia miltiorrhiza (redroot sage). RNAcentral's name for it is "long non-coding RNA (SMIL_LNC008960)". The record is from RNAcentral. Lineage: Eukaryota; Viridiplantae; Streptophyta; Magnoliopsida; Lamiales; Lamiaceae.